RNAcentral lists this long non-coding RNA (200 nucleotides) under Lathyrus oleraceus (garden pea). Its description in RNAcentral is "Pisum sativum (pea) long non-coding RNA (PSAT_LNC005312)". The record is from RNAcentral. Lineage: Eukaryota; Viridiplantae; Streptophyta; Magnoliopsida; Fabales; Fabaceae.
CAUUUGAGAGGAUAAUCCUGAGAAUUUCCUUUGGAAAUUGAGUUUGAAUAUCACUGUUUUGAGAUUCAAAACUCCAGGGAUCCAAGACCUUUUGUGCAUUCCAAUCUACUUCUGCAAGCAUCCUGAGCAAGAUCAAGCCUGAGCCAAAGCAAGAACAAGUGAAUCCAGACCUGCAUUGCAGGUAUUUUCCAGAAAAUUUC